AUCUUGUUUCUAAUUUAAUGGAAAAAGUAGUGUUUGUCUUCAUCUCUUCUAACUAUUUUUGGUUUGAAGUCUAUUUUACCAGGUAUUAUAAUAGCUAUGCUGGCUUAUUUCUUGGUUCCACUUGUUUAGAAUAACUUUUUAUAACUUCUUACCUUAAGGUACUGUUUAUUGUUGAUUGUUAGGUGUUUUACUUAGGGGCAGCAAAAAGUUAGAUUCUGUUUUCUAAUCUAAUAUGUUAGUCUGCAUCUUUUUAGAAAAAAACUGAUUUUCCAUGUAUGUGUGUAUGCAUGUAUGUGUAUCAUGUGUGUAUGGGAGCACACAGAAUUCAGAGGAAGCAUCAGAUCCCCUGGAACUGGAGUUACAGAUAGUUGUGAACCAUCAUGAAGGUUCUGAGAACUGAACCUAGGUCUUCUGGAAUGGAGGGAGAAGACUCAGGUUGUCACACUUGGAAGCAAGCAACUUUACUCCAUGAACCAUCUGACCAGCCCAGGGCCUCAGCCAGAUUUUCUUCUGCAGAGCAAUCUGGAACUAUAUCUGCAAAAACAAGUACAUCAUCUCUCAUGCUGUCUCGGUGAUACAUUAAAGGCUAAUUGUUCCAUAGCAUCAACAGACAGAAGAGGCAUGCUUCCAAUCUUACCCCAUAGAAGAAUUUUCUCAAGUGAAACUUUUCCUUCUUCAUGUCAACUUCAUUAGUUUCUUACAGAUAUAUGUCAGUGUUGAAAAGUAUAGAGGCUUCAGUGAUAAAUGUCUCCUACAGUCUUGAGCAUCUGAAUACUUGGUUCCAGUUGGUGACAUUGUUUGGGUUUGCAGCUCAAGAUGUAAGCUCUGAGGAUGUGAGCUUGCUGCUCUAGCUGUCAUGCCUGCCACUUCCUCAUGCUGGUGAUGGACUCCUAUCCCUCUG
RNAcentral lists this long non-coding RNA (901 nucleotides) under Cricetulus griseus (Chinese hamster). RNAcentral describes it as "lncRNA (ENSCGRG00015031432.1)". Lineage: Eukaryota; Metazoa; Chordata; Mammalia; Rodentia; Cricetidae. The record is from RNAcentral.